This is a long non-coding RNA of Gymnogyps californianus (California condor), 353 nucleotides long. RefSeq lists it as uncharacterized. The record is from RefSeq and is a predicted model, not a curated record. Lineage: Eukaryota; Metazoa; Chordata; Aves; Accipitriformes; Cathartidae. The transcript has 3 exons.
AUGGGCGCUGGGGAGGGUUAAACGGGGUGGACCGGACCUUCUGUAAGGCUGCCGCUUUGCAUAAAAAUGGGAACAGGAGCUAAAAGGCAUUUAGAAACCACGUACCACAGAAAUUAGGCUGUAACAUUGGAAGAGAGAAUUAGAUCAUCGAUAUCACCAUAUACAAAAGAAACAAAAAGAAAGAUACCAGAAUGGAAAAAAAAACCUCAGAUCGUAUUCAUCCAGGCAGCAGCUGAAGAGUUUUCUAAACUCAAUUAGUGCAAGAAUGCUGUGACCAAUGGAAAAAUGUUUGAUGCAUGCCAGAAAACAAAUCUUCCCAGCUCUUGGAAAUAUGUUCUGAAAACAAAUAAGGA